CCUACGGGGCGCUGCAGUGGGGAAUAUUGCACAAUGGGGGAAACCCUGAUGCAGCGACGCCGCGUGAGUGAAGAAGUAUUUCGGUAUGUAAAGCUCUAUCAGCAGGGAAGAAAAUGACGGUACCUGAUUAAGAAGCCCCGGCUAACUACGUGCCAGCAGCCGCGGUAAUACGUAGGGGGCAAGCGUUAUCCGGAUUUACUGGGUGUAAAGGGGGCGGAGACGGCAGCACAAGUCUGGAGUGAAAUGCCGGGGCUUAACCCCGGAACUGCUUUGGAAACUGUGCAGCUAGAGUGCAGGAGAGGUAAGUGGAAUUCCUAGUGUAGCGGUGAAAUGCGUAGAUAUUAGGAGGAACACCAGUGGCGAAGGCGGCUUACUGGACUGUAACUGACGUUGAGGCUCGAAAGCGUGGGGAGCAAACAGGAUUAGAUACCCCUGUAGUC
Molecule: ribosomal RNA, 440 nt
Filed under: uncultured bacterium
Lineage: Bacteria
Description: partial 16S ribosomal RNA
Rfam family: Bacterial small subunit ribosomal RNA
Source: RNAcentral